RNAcentral lists this ribosomal RNA (540 nucleotides) under Triticum aestivum (bread wheat). RNAcentral describes it as "partial small subunit ribosomal RNA". The record is from RNAcentral. Lineage: Eukaryota; Viridiplantae; Streptophyta; Magnoliopsida; Poales; Poaceae.
AUGGAUAUGACAGUGAAGUACUUUGAGAGGAGGAAGGUCGAGAAUCCAGAGUUUUUCUUUGCGAAGCAAAAAGAUCUUGCAACGAACUCUGUCACUGCAUUGUUUUGGGUUGAUGGGAGGACAAGGGCGUUGUACCCGAAAUAUAAAGAUUGUGUGUUCUUUGACACAACUUUCUGCACUAACAGAUACAACAUGCCCUUUGGUCCUAUAGUUAGUAUCAACAACCACCUCCAAACCAUUUCACUCGGGUGUGCUUUGUUGCCGGAUGAGACUAUUGAAACGUUCAAGUGGGUCUUUGAGCAAUGGAUGGUUGCAAUGGACAAUGAGCAUCCAAAGAACAUAAUGACUGACCAGGACCAAGCAAUGGCAACAGCUAUAGAGCAGGUGCUCCCAAAUACUUGCCAUAGAUGUUGCAAGUUUCAUGUGUUUGGCAACGCGCGUUCUAAGUUGGGGAGGCUGCUUAGAGAUGAGGCAUUUGCAGAUGUGUUCUACACUUGUAUCAACAACUCUGAAACGGUUGAAGAAUUUGAGGAAACAUGA